UACGGGGGGGGUAAGCGUUGUUCGGAAUUACUGGGCGUAAAGGGCUCGUAGGCGGCCAACUAAGUCAUACGUGAAAUCCCUCAGCUUAACUGGGGAACUGCGUGUGAUACUGGAUGGCUUGGAUUUGGGAGAGGGAUGCGGAAUUCCAGGUGUAGCGGUGAAAUGCGUAGAUAUCAGGAGGAACACCCGUGGCGAAGGCGAAUCUCUGGACCGGUUCUGACGCUGAGGAGCGAAAGCUAGGGGAGCAAACAGG
Molecule: ribosomal RNA, 253 nt
Filed under: uncultured bacterium
Lineage: Bacteria
Description: partial 16S ribosomal RNA
Rfam family: Bacterial small subunit ribosomal RNA
Source: RNAcentral